UAGCCUAGUGGUUAAGGCGAUGGAUCGCCAAUCCGGAGACGGCGGGUUCGAUUCCCGU
This is a non-coding RNA of Aedes albopictus (Asian tiger mosquito), 58 nucleotides long. The record is from Rfam. NCBI's taxonomy places the organism in Eukaryota, Metazoa, Arthropoda, Insecta, Diptera, Culicidae.